AACCUGCAUGGGGGAAGGUUAGGCGGAAAAGAGGAAUUUACAGAGUAUUAGCAGAAAUUAGCCAAUACCGACACAAGCUCAAUUAGUUUUUUUUUUUUUUUUUUUUUUUUUUUUUUUUGGGUCUCUGUUGGCUGUUCUUGAACGUGAGUAAACGCUGUGCAGAGAGGGAGAGCCACAGCACACUGCCAUCUCCGAGCCGCAGCCAGGAGAUGGACUGACAGAUUGCAAAUUAAAAUAGUCCUAAUGUAAGAAUUAAUGCAGCCCCCCAAAUCUCUAAGAACACGAGCCCUUUAGUAACGAGCCCGGCGCUGAAGGAGCGUUGCUGCUGCCUGGGCUGGUUCUGCGUUAUGGAGAGAGGCUAGGGAGGGACAAUAAAGCAAGUCACGGGCAGAGAAAAUCACAAGGCAUCAUGGAGAAAGACAGUAUUACAGACCUGCUGGAGGAGCUCAGCAGGAGAAGAGAGGCAGUGCUGUGCCGACAAUGUGGUUUGAACAAUGGAGAUCUGUGAUGUCCCAGCUUUUUGGAAACUUUUAUGCUCAAGCCAAGAGGUUACUAUAGAUGGAGCUAAUCUGCACUGGUGGUGUGCUCCAGCUGUGGCUGGGCCAAGCUGGGCCACGGAGAGCCCAUGGGAUCUGCUGAAGGAACCACCAAGAUCUGCUGUGGGAGCACACGACUACGAGUGGCCCAGCUAUCGAGUGCCUGAGAAUAAGUGGUUUCUUCCACAGGAAAUGACCAGGUAUGUGUUAAAGAGAGCUGAAGAAAAGAGGAAGAACAUGGCUGUAUUGUGAGACUGAGCAGUUUGUGAAAAUUUUCCAUUUCAGCUCGUAYAAACGUGCAUGCCUUUUAGAGAUAGUAAUAAGCAUUUGAGUGUGAAUCUUGCUAAAUAUUAUGAGAUGCCCAGAUGUUGUGGCAACGGAUAACACAUACAAAUACUUAUCACAACAUAUAAAUAAGCAAACAAAAACAAUUACUAAAGGCACUUAAAUGUUAAGCGCUCUGUAUCAUCUUCUCAUCACCAAUUUUUUGCAGUGCUUUAGGUAUAACUGCUCACCCAGGAACAAACAGCAGAAAGAUACUGAUAGUUCUUUAAAAUAACAUAAAUCCUAUGAGCUGGAGUCUAGUCCCACUGAAAUUACUUUGGGUUUUGCCAUUGGUUUCAAUAGAAUGAGGCUAGGACUUUGUAUUUUCCAAAUCAGGGGCAUAUCAUUCAUCCUCAUUGUGGCAGACAUGUUAUAACAUUAACACAGUGAAGGGGCUCACCAUACAAGUUACAUCAAUAUGCAGUUUAAAUAUGUUUAGUGUAAUGUUUAUAUCUUUUUUAUUCACUUUUAUGCGAGCCUAAUACAGCCAGCCUCAUAAAGCUCACUCUUGCACCAGAUUAAAGUGGUGUCUUUGUAACGUUUACUGGUUGCUCAUAAAUCACGGUGGCACUUUGUUACUGUCCACAAGCAGUUUUUUGUGCUAAAGGUUUCAAUCAUUAAGAUGUACAGUAUUAUCUCAGGCAUAGUUUUAGUCCUGGAGAAAUUAUGCUGAGAGAUGCUUUUGUAUGUAUGGCAUUUGUAGAAAAUAGUGUGCCUACGUUUGAAAGCUGAUACAUAUGAUACCAUUAGCUGCUGCAUUAACAAGCACUUUAACUAAAUAUACAGAAAAUUCUCUUGUGUAUUUAUGCCGUGCAGUAAAAGUACUUAUCACACCAGUUUGCAAAUACCCAGUGUUUACCUUAGAUGUCUAUUUCAUCUCAAUUUAAGGUUUUCUGGGCUUUGAACACUUAGAUUUCAGGUACAAAUC
This 1788-nucleotide long non-coding RNA is filed under the name Dromaius novaehollandiae (emu). Its description in RNAcentral is "lncRNA (ENSDNVG00000018192.1)". Lineage: Eukaryota; Metazoa; Chordata; Aves; Casuariiformes; Dromaiidae. The record is from RNAcentral.